ACAAUGGAGGCAACUCUGAUCCAGCCAUGCCGCGUGAAGGAAUAAGGCCCUAUGGGUCGUAAACUUCUUUUCUGCGAGAGCAAUAAGGACUACGUGUAAUCCGAUGAGAGUAUUGCAGGAAUAAGCAUCGGCUAACUCCGUGCCAGCAGCCGCGGUAAUACGGAGGAUGCGAGCGUUAUCCGGAUUUAUUGGGUUUAAAGGGUGCGUAGGCUGCACUUCAAGCCAGCGGUGAAAUACCGGUGCUUAACGCCGGGGCUGCCGUUGGAACUGGGGAGCUGGAGUACGGAUGCCGCCGGAGGAAUGUGUGGUGUAGCGGUGAAAUGCAUAGAUAUCACACAGAACACCGAUUGCGAAGGCAUCUGGCGAAUCCGUCACUGACGCUGAAGCACGAAAGCGUGGGGAUCAAACAGGAUUAGAUACCCUGGUAGUCCACGCAGUAAACGAUGAUGGCUAGCUGUUGGGGAGCAAUUUUCAGUAGUCAAGCGAAAGCGAUAAGCCAUCCACCUGGGGAGUACGACCGCAAGGUUGAAACUCAAAGGAAUUGACGGGGGCCCGCACAAGCGGAGGAACAUGUGGUUUAAUUCGAUGAUACGCGAGGAACCUUACCCGGGCUCGAACGGUAGAUGGAUAUAGGAGAGAUUCUAUAGUCUUCGGACAUCUAUCGAGGUGCUGCAUGGUUGUCGUCAGCUCGUGCCGUGAGGUGUCGGCUUAAGUGCCAUAACGAGCGCAACCCUUGCCUUCAGUUGCCAGCGGGUCAAGCCGGGGACUCUGGAGGGACUGCCACCGCAAGGUGUGAGGAAGGGGGGGAUGACGUCAAAUCAGCACGGCCCUUACGUCCGGGGCGACACACGUGUUACAAUGGGUGAUACAGCGGGAAGCUACCUGGUGACAGGGAGCGGAUCCCGAAAAUCACUCUCAGUUCGGAUCGGAGUCUGCAACUCGACUCC
This 947-nucleotide ribosomal RNA is filed under the name gut metagenome. RNAcentral describes it as "bacterial SSU rRNA". It matches the Rfam family "Bacterial small subunit ribosomal RNA", at positions 368 to 1319 of the family's 1533-position model. The record is from RNAcentral.